RNAcentral lists this RNase P RNA (311 nucleotides) under Planctomycetaceae bacterium. Its description in RNAcentral is "partial RNase P RNA component class A". It matches the Rfam family "Bacterial RNase P class A", at positions 1 to 282 of the family's 367-position model. Rfam says of the family: Ribonuclease P (RNase P) is a ubiquitous endoribonuclease, found in archaea, bacteria and eukarya as well as chloroplasts and mitochondria. Its best characterised activity is the generation of mature 5'-ends of tRNAs by cleaving the 5'-leader elements of precursor-tRNAs. The record is from RNAcentral. Lineage: Bacteria; Pseudomonadati; Planctomycetota; Planctomycetia; Planctomycetales; Planctomycetaceae.
GCAGAGGAACAGGUGUUCGCUGGAUCCAUGUGAUUCAGAGGAAAGUCCGGGCUCCACAGGACACGGUGGUGGGUAACGCCCACCGUCCGCAAGGAUCGGGAAAGUGCAACAGAAAGUAAACCGCCGAACGGUGGUGUGACGGUUCUGCCGUCAUGCUGCGUCGUGGUAAGGGUGAAACGGUGCGGUAAGAGCGCACCAGCGCGGCGGGCAACCGCCACGGCUAGGUAAACCCCACCCGGAGCAAGGUCAAACGUGGGAAAUGGGCGGCUCGCCCGUUCGGGAAACCGGACAUUCCCAAGGUGGACCGCGUA